Molecule: long non-coding RNA, 999 nt
Organism: Lacerta agilis (Sand lizard)
Lineage: Eukaryota; Metazoa; Chordata; Lepidosauria; Squamata; Lacertidae
Exons: 6
Source: RefSeq, a predicted model, not a curated record
ACUUUGCAUCUGCCCUGGGUCUCUAUGCCAAGAGCUGCUAUUUAAAUGUCUCAGAGUCUCUUUGAGCAACAAUACAUCAGGCACUCUGAGGCAUUGUGGGAAAUUUAACAAGAUUGUUCAUAAUUUCCUGCUGCUGUUACUGCUGGUUAAGCUUUCAACUAGGGACUCACCAGAAACAGGAAGUGGCUCUCUUAAAAUUCCUCACUCUGGAGAAGUCAUGCUGAAGCCUAGCAUAAGCUUUUAAAGCUGCAGCCUUAAUUAAAAAUGGUUGUUUUUUAUUAAAAACAAGGCAGAAUAGAUGAUAUCCUUCAACCUUCAUUUGACUCAGGGGGAACACAAAGGAAAACUAGCCCGUAGUUAUGGAAGAUAAAAGACAACAGCAUAGCUCUCACAAACAAUAAAUGAAAUGGCAGACCUGUUUCCAGACUGUAUAGCUUCAGAUGACACACAGGAUUCAUCUCAUAUUCAUUCUGACAAGUCCUUCAAGUCCAGAUGUCUUCGGAUGGGAUGGAUGGCUUGUGUGUAAAUUUAGCAUUGUCCUGUGCUUCCAUAUUAUAUAUGAAAGGUCACUUGCAGGAAUCUCAAAAAUCAGGCCAGUUUUUCAACUUCUGAAGGAUUAUUAACUUCAAAGUCGGAAGAAAUGUCGGCCUUCUAUGUUUGGAAAUGCCAGCAGCCUUUGCAUAUCCCCACCACAGUACCAAGCAACCCCCAGCAGAGAGGAGCGAUUACUGCCUCGGUGGCGAGAGGAUGGCUUUUGAUCUCCUAACAUAUUGGAAAUUACUUAAAGGGGUCCUGUCCUCUUUUGCACCUGACCAUCCUAUCAGCAACUGGAAUGGGUGGGAAAUGGGAUCGGUGUCAAACCUUUUGAGAUGCACCAAUCAGAUAACAAAGAGUAGAGGAAUGGCUGUGUUCCUGCAAUCCUAAGAUCAGAGUGGACCCAAUACAUUUCGGCACCUGAGGCGAUCCACAAAACGGUGUGUGUGUCUCCCUGUCAGGGAA